This 396-nucleotide unclassified non-coding RNA is filed under the name soil metagenome. RNAcentral describes it as "partial contains 5.8S ribosomal RNA, internal transcribed spacer 2, and large subunit ribosomal RNA". The stretch from base 1 to 122 matches the Rfam family "5.8S ribosomal RNA", at positions 35 to 154 of the family's 154-position model. The record is from RNAcentral.
GAUGAAGAACGCAGCGAAAUGCGAUACUUGGUGUGAAUUGCAGAAUCCCGUGAACCAUCGAGUCUUUGAACGCAAGUUGCGCCCGAAGCCAUUAGGCCGAGGGCACGCCUGCCUGGGUGUCACACACCGUUACCCUCGCGCCAACGUCCAUCGUUGGCCGCGGCGCGGGGCGUGCGCUGACCUCCCGCGAGCGGGGUCUCGUGGUUGGUUGAAAAUCGAGUUCGCGGUCGAGGGUGCCGUGAUGAAAUGGUGGAUGGGCGACGCCCGAGGCCAAUCACGCGCGACUCUGUCCGGCUCGUACUCCUGGACCCCUUCGGCGUCUCCGGACGCUCUUUGGCGAGACCUCAGGUCAGGCGGGGCUACCCGCUGAGUUUAAGCAUAUCAAUAAGCGGAGGA